CUCGUAAAUUUCGAGCAACAACUAUUCACAUUAUAAUGUCACUGCAAUUAAAGAAAUGUUACAAAGAUAUAGGAUUUUUUUUUAUUAAUAAACAAGAAAUUAAAUUUAUAAUCCUAUUCCAUCAAUACAAAAUUUAGGAGCCUCUAUAUGCUUGCUAUGCGAAUUAACUAAUAACUGAUAAAUUGUUUAGAAAGAAAGAAAGAAAGAAUAAAAAUGAGAUCCCUUAUCAAUGGUGAUCGACCCUGCAUGCAUGCGGCCGCCGGUUAAUGUUGUAAGGGUAAGUUGCUUGGAUCCUAUGAUUUCUCUUCUGAAAGAACCUUUGAAGUGAUCUCUUCAUCGACAAACCAUUAUUAUUAGGGCCAUAAGCAGGCGGAGGAGGAGGUUCCAAAGUUGGCGAUACAGGUUGUUCCGACGACAACGAAGACGAAGAAGAAGAAGAAG
This 441-nucleotide unclassified non-coding RNA is filed under the name Hevea brasiliensis (rubber tree). Lineage: Eukaryota; Viridiplantae; Streptophyta; Magnoliopsida; Malpighiales; Euphorbiaceae. The record is from RNAcentral.